AACGAACGCUGGCGGCAUGCCUAACACAUGCAAGUCGAACGAGACCUUCGGGUCUAGUGGCGCACGGGUGCGUAACGCGUGGGAACCUGCCCUUAGGUUCGGAAUAACUCCCCGAAAGGGGUGCUAAUACCGGAUAAUGUCUUCGGACCAAAGAUUUAUCGCCUUUGGAUGGGCCCGCGUUGGAUUAGCUAGUUGGUAGGGUAAAAGCCUACCAAGGCGACGAUCCAUAGCUGGUCUGAGAGGAUGAUCAGCCACACUGGGACUGAGACACGGCCCAGACUCCUACGGGAGGCAGCAGUGGGGAAUAGUGGACAAUGGGCGGAAGCCUGAUCCAGCAAUGCCGCGUGAGUGAUGAAGGCCUUAGGGUUGUAAAGCUCUUUUACCCGGGAUGAUAAUGACAGUACCGGGAGAAUAAGCUCCGGCUAACUCCGUG
Molecule: ribosomal RNA, 433 nt
Filed under: uncultured bacterium
Lineage: Bacteria
Description: partial 16S ribosomal RNA
Rfam family: Bacterial small subunit ribosomal RNA
Source: RNAcentral